Molecule: long non-coding RNA, 4667 nt
Organism: Aplysia californica (California sea hare)
Lineage: Eukaryota; Metazoa; Mollusca; Gastropoda; Aplysiida; Aplysiidae
Exons: 2
Source: RefSeq, a predicted model, not a curated record
GAGGUCCCGUGUGCACGUUGCACACGUGAAAGAUCUCUUGGUGGUCUUUGGGCACAUUCCACCACACACACAUGCUAGGCUCAUUCACCAUCUGGUCCAUGAGCUUCACCUGUUCCAGUUUCUGCCCCAACAUCGGCAGUGGGAGCACGGUCAUGGUAGAUGUCAAUGUGUCGCACUUUGGCUUCAUGGAAUUUUUACUGAGGUCAUCAGAAGCAAGCCCUGAGACAUGAACUGACCUUGUGGAUUUCAGAAUUGUCGUCAUUCGCAUCUCUGUCUGGUGCUGAGUUUGCUGGAAACUUUCGGUGAUGCUCAAUCAAGUACUUUCUCAGCCAUCCGAAAAUCUCCAGGCCUGAAUGAAGUCUGGCUGCAAGGAUAUGCAGACACCGUAAUCCAUUGGAUGUUGUGAAGUGGCAUCCACACAAGAAUCCACCUGCACGUCAGUGCACCCAUCCACACUAGAGUCCACCUGCACGCCAGUGCACCCAUCCACACAAAAACCUCCACCUGGAAGAGAGACAACCUUGACCUUGACCUAUCUAGCUCUGGUAAAUUGUUUCUCCAUUUCCUCCCCUGCGUACUUUGUCAAAUGUCACCUGAACUUCCUCUCGUUCUCUUCUGUUGAGGAAAUUGUUUGGUCCAGCAUUCUGGCCACCCUCAAGACCUUCACGACAACAAAUCCAAGAAAAGAAUCAUACUGACUGGUCCAAGAACAGAAUCAGACUGACUGGUCCAAGAACAGAAUCAGACUGACUGGUCCAAGAACAGAAUCAGACUGACUGGUCCAAGAACAGAAUCAGACUGACUGGUCCAAGAACAGAAUCAGACUGACUGGUCCAAGAACAGAGUCAUACUGACUGGUCCAAGAACAGAGUCAUACUGACUGGUCCAAGAACAGAAUCAGACUGACUGGUCCAAGAACAGAAUCAGACUGACUGGUCCAAGAACAGAGUCAGACUGACUGGUCCAAGAACAGAAUCAGACUGACUGGUCCAAGAACAGAAUCAGACUGACUGGUCCAAGAACAGAAUCAGACUGACUGGUCCAAGAACAGAGUCAGACUGACUGGUCCAAGAACAGAAUCAGACUGACUGGUCCAAGAACAGAAUCAGACUGACUGGUCCAAGAACAGAAUCAGACUGACUGGUCCAAGAACAGAGUCAUACUGACUGGUCCAAGAACAGAGUCAUACUGACUGGUCCAAGAACAGAGUCAUACUGACUGGUCCAAGAACAGAAUCAGACUGGUCCAAGAACAGAAUCAGACUGGUCCAAGAACAGAAUCAGACUGACUGGUCCAAGAACAGAAUCAGACUGACUGGUCCAAGAACAGAAUCAGACUGACUGGUCCAAGAACAGAAUCAGACUGGUCCAAGAAGAUUGGAAGUUGCCAACAACUGACUUGAUGUGCCCAGUGAGAGAUUCCAGCCUGUUUGUUGUUUACUCACUCAGCAUCAGGGAUUCUGCCUUCAAGCCCAUAACCCAUUCCUCUGGAAUAUCAUGCCAGUUGCACCUUAUGCAGUUGCGAGCGCCGUAAAACCCUGUACUACUACUACUAUGCCAGUUGCGCUUGAUAUAAUCAAUAACCAUGGAAAAAUUUCCUUCCUCAAGAUAUUUCCUUUUGCAAGUGCUGAUCCUAUUCCUUCUUCAGUACAAGUUUUUGCUGUAUGCCAGAUGCUGAAGAAGUGCAUGAAGGGUGUUCCUUUGCUCAGGUUGAAAGCUCAUUUGAACAGAAGUUUUUUCUCUGGAAGAAAGCUCAUUUGAACAGAAGUUUUUUCUCUGGAAGAAAGCUCAUUUGAACAGAAGUUUUUUCUCUGGAAAAAGAGUGAAGUGUAUGACACAAGCAGAGCUCACUUUGGUAUGUGGGAAUGCAGAACUCAAGAUGGAUCGCUCAGUAAAAUCUUUGUCAAUUAUAAUGACCUUUGUUCUUGAAGUACUAAUAGUAAUAAAUGAAUCAAAAUGGGAUUUGAAAGCUGACACCAUCCGGCUCCGAAGAUUGUGGGUCUGAUUGUGCACCAGAAAAAAUCUUGCAGCAUGGCGGGCCGUCCUGUCAUUGGUCAAUUUGUCCACUUCCUCCAUCUGAAGCACUUCUAUUCAAUAAGUGUAAUAAAUAACCUCCAUUUCAGGAUCCAUAAGUUGGGAUUGCCAUGCUUGCAGCAAUUUCUCUUUUUUGAAAGUUUUUUUUUUCUCGUCUUCCUCUUUUAGUUACAGCAAUUUGAGCUGCAGGCUCUAGGCAUUAUGCUUUCUCUUCAACAUUGUCAGCUUGCUUAGUCUGGAACAGUCGCACAGAUUUAGACGAGAGUUGAUCAGCUCACUGUACUGAGCUCUGCCCAAGUCUAGAAAAUGGACAAAGUCCAAUGUCAGUGACAUCAUGCAAUACAUGCCGGCGUCUGCUCAUGUCUAUGGUCUUUGUCAACGAACUUUGCAGAGACUAUAGUUGAUGACCAAUUGAAGGUCACACGACAGAUGUACAUUUGAUAGUCAGGGUUCCCAGUGAAAUCCCGAAAUUCUUUUCCUUCCAGACUCAAAUUUUUUUUCCAGACUACCAAAAAAAAAAAAAAUCACCAAUAAAAAGCUUACUUACCAGAAGUUUUGACGUCUACAAGCAUAUUAAAGGAUGAUUCAUCUGCUGUAGUGACUAGACAGUCUUAAGAACAGACUCCUUUUUCUGAAUAUCUUCUUUCAAUGACUCCAUUCUUCUUCUUUUUUCACAAGUGUGUUCCUUAAUGAUAAUCCAUGCGCUGAAGUAAAUAGUGCCCACUGGUCAUUCAUAUUGGUUACAGAUUCUGCCAUACAUACGCUUUUCUAUCACUUUCUCUUCUCAAAGAUGCCACAUUGUUGUCCUCUACUUCCAGUUUUCUUUUCUUUCCUUCCUCCACCUCCUCCACACUUUGUCUCCAUAUUGCCGAGGCGUCCCUGAACACUCUGAUAGCACGGCGAGCAGGAAGUGCUGCACACACGCACGUCUUGUUGGGUCCUCACGACUCCUCACGUCAGGUCGUGUCAGUGAAAUCUCCGAUAGGAAAUAAAGAGGGCUCGACUUUUUUUAGCAGCGCCCUUCAGUUGUGCGUGGCAGUAUAUUUUCAGCCUUAGAAGACAUAGCCCUCAAUCUUUUUGGUUUAGAAAUAAGAGCAUUUUGACAAAGCGAUAGUUUUCUUACAAAGAAGAAAAAAAAUGGGGAUUCUAUUUUCUUUUGGUUCACUGCUGUUUUUGGAUGAACCGUGUUUGGUUGAAGCAGACUUCACUGUAUGUCAAUGUUUUACUUGUCUGGGCAAGCCCGGCCUGGGCUGGGUACGAUGCUCCAUCAAACCUCCAAGUGGAAGUGGCACUCACAUCUUCAGUAAUCUGGCUUCUGCGGUUGUCGUGGCUGCGGUUUUUGGCAUUUUUUGGUCCCCGAAUCGCGGCCGCGAUUUUUGCUACUUCAUAACAAAUUAGAUAUGUGUAUUUUUGAUCAUGUUAAGGUGUCUAUGUAUAGUUAUUUUCAGGCGAAGAAUGUAGGUACUCUGGGACCUUACUGUAAAUUACAUAUAUAUAAACUUUUAUUUUUGCUGUUUGUCUUUCAUUUCUCUCUUUGUUGUUUGAGUUUGUUGUUGUUGAAUUUGUUGAGAUGUUGUUCUGACGUGUUGGUUUUCUAUGUUGUAAUGUUUCUACAGCGCAAUGGCAUUUCAGUUGAUGUUGUUCCUACAUUUUAAAAGAAUAUAAAUGUGUUAUGUUAAAGCGUGUCUCCACCAAAACUGAAUACUGACUCUGGCCGGCCCCUUGUGGGUGAUUCCACUCAUUGACUUGUCAUAUGGCCUGUACUUUUUCUUGAAAUACACACGUUUACAGUUUAAAUGUCCUGUACUUUUUCUUGAAAUACACAUGUUUACAGUUUAAAUGGCCUAUCUUCGGAAAGGUGGACACACGCCCUUAUUUGGUAAUAUUUGUGGUUGUUUAUUUGCUGUUCUAAUUUUGAUUUCCUUCUGUUGUGAAACUUUAAUAAAUUUUUCACGUUUUUACACUGUGUGUGGCUACAAAUGAUAUUCUGGAUGUUUGAAACAGAGGACAAGAAAUUCUGGUGCUUUCGAUUGUUUCCCUAAUCAACAUAUCAGUACGUCGUCACAGAGAGCUUGUGGGUGGUUGGCGGGUGCUCUAGUGUUGUUUGCUUCUUCUUUCCUAUCAAACAUUUAUCAUCCUUGUCUUCCCUUCUUCUUUUUUAUAUUUGUUACUCUCUUGUAACACGUUUAAUCUUCUGGCGCUCAUAUGACCUUAUGCAGACUUUGCGAGCGCCGUAAAACCUCUACUAAAACUUUUAAAAAUGAAAUCUUGAAAAUGAAUGGUAACUUUUAUGAAAUAAAUGGCAACAAACGCAGAUGCUAGAGUAGCACACAAUGUAGUGAAGAGCCUGACAAAGAGAUGCCAGUUUGGUGGGUAAACCAUUUAGAUAUUGUCAUUCUUGUUAAAGCCAACUUUCCAGGUGGUCCUGAGGUCCUGUGUAAAUGACACAACGACAACAAUGAACUGGUCAGUUAUGUCCUGUGUAAAUGACAUAACAACAAUGAACUGGUCAGUAAUGUCCUGUGUAAAUGACACAACAACGACAACAAUGAACUGGUCAGUAAUGUCCUGUGUAAAUGACACAACGACAACAAUGAACUGAUCAAUGUGCAAUAAAAAUCCAACACAUCGGGA